This is a non-coding RNA of Salmo salar (Atlantic salmon), 714 nucleotides long. The record is from RefSeq and is a predicted model, not a curated record. NCBI's taxonomy places the organism in Eukaryota, Metazoa, Chordata, Actinopteri, Salmoniformes, Salmonidae.
GUAGAUUGAUGAGGAUUUAAAAUUUUUUUUAAUCCAUUUUAGAAUAAGGCUGUAACGUAACAAAAUGUGGAAAAAGUCAAGGGGUCUGAAUACUUUUCGAAGGCACUGUAUCAACAUAGACUACAUUACUUCAGAGAAGGUGUACAUCAGCUGUGUGGUGAUCCUGUGUGAGGCGUGGGACCCCAGCACCCGGUGUGUCAGCACGGCAUCGCCACGGGAGAAAGGCCAUCCUGGAGACCGCCAAGCACUCCAUCUCCCAGGGGCCUUUGCGUGUGAGGAGGAGCGCUGACAGUGACAGGAAAGCUGCUGAUGUGGCUUUAAACCAGAACUUGGUGUUCGUCGCUGGAUGUUUCCUGGCAGCAAUCGCCAUGGUGCGCGGAGCUGUCAUCGAUAGAUCCAGACAGUCAAAGGUCAAAUAUCAACCACUAGUUGAUCAACCAUGAGUAGGGUGUAAAAUCACAAUACUGACCUUUAGAUUAGUGACUAGAGACAAUUGUAUCCCCUGCUGACCCCUCAACGCCAUUGGCCGUCAUCUAACCCACUUUUGAAAUAGAAUCUCAAACUGAUGCUUUAAUGAGGAGCGCGGUUUCAUGAACAACUACAUUAACUGUUUUUUUUAGAGACAUAAAUAAAUAAAUAAAAAUUACAAUCAAGAUUUACGAUCUGUCUGAGGUGGUUUGGAAAGAAAUUCCUUCCGUAAUGCCUUGUAGCGUC